RNAcentral lists this ribosomal RNA (301 nucleotides) under uncultured bacterium. RNAcentral's name for it is "partial 16S ribosomal RNA". It matches the Rfam family "Bacterial small subunit ribosomal RNA", at positions 509 to 807 of the family's 1533-position model. The record is from RNAcentral.
CAGUAGCCACGGUAACACGGAGGGUGCAAGCGUUAAUCGGAAUUACUGGGCGUAAAGCGCACGCAGGCGGUCUGUCAAGUCAGAUGUGAAAUCCCCGGGCUUAACCUGGGAACUGCAUUUGAAACUGGCAGGCUAGAGUCUUGUAGAGGGGGGUAGAAUUCCAGGCGUAGCGGUGAAAUGCGUAGAGAUCUGGAGGAAUACCGGUGGCGAAGGCGGCCCCCUGGACAAAGACUGACGCUCAGGUGCGAAAGCGUGGGGAGCAAACAGGAUUAGAUACCCCUGUAGUCCCUGUCUCUUAUAC